ACGCACGCUGGCGACGUGCCUAAUACAUGCAAGUAGAACGCUGAAGGAGGAGCUUGCUUCUCUGGAUGAGUUGCGAACGGGUGAGUAACGCGUAGGUAACCUGCCUGGUAGCGGGGGAUAACUAUUGGAAACGAUAGCUAAUACCGCAUCAUAGUAGAUGUUGCAUGACAUUUGCUUAAAAGGUGCAAUUGCAUCACUACCAGAUGGACCUGCGUUGUAUUAGCUAGUUGGUGGGGUAACGGCUCACCAAGGCGACGAUACAUAGCCGACCUGAGAGGGUGAGCAGCCACACUGGAACUGGGAGACGGUCCAGACUGCUACGGGAGGCAGCAGUGGGGAAUAUUGGACAAUGGGCGCAAGCCUGAGCCAGCCAUAACGCGUGGGUGAAGAAGGCCUUCGGGUUGUAAAGCCCUUUUGUUGGGAAAGAAAAGCAGCAGGUGAAUACCCCGCUGUUCUGACGGUACCCAAAGAAUAAGCACCGGCUAACUUCGU
RNAcentral lists this ribosomal RNA (492 nucleotides) under uncultured bacterium. RNAcentral's name for it is "partial 16S ribosomal RNA". It matches the Rfam family "Bacterial small subunit ribosomal RNA", at positions 29 to 506 of the family's 1533-position model. The record is from RNAcentral.